Molecule: ribosomal RNA, 503 nt
Filed under: uncultured bacterium
Lineage: Bacteria
Description: partial 16S ribosomal RNA
Rfam family: Bacterial small subunit ribosomal RNA
Source: RNAcentral
AUUGAACGCUGGCGGCAGGCUUAACACAUGCAAGUCGAGCGGGGUGAUGGUGCUUGCACUAUCACUUAGCGGCGGACGGGUGAGUAAUGCUUAGGAAUCUGCCUAUUAGUGGGGGACAACAUCUCGAAAGGGAUGCUAAUACCGCAUACGUCCUACGGGAGAAAGCAGGGGAUCACUUGUGACCUUGCGCUAAUAGAUGAGCCUAAGUCGGGUUAGCUAGUUGGUGGGGUAAAGGCCUACCAAGGCGACGAUCUGUAGCGGGUCUGAGAGGAUGAUCCGCCACACUGGGACUGAGACACGGCCCAGACUCCUACGGGAGGCAGCAGUGGGGAAUAUUGGACAAUGGGGGGAACCCUGAUCCAGCCAUGCCGCGUGUGUGAAGAAGGCCUUAUGGUUGUAAAGCACUUUAAGCGAGGAGGAGGCUCUUUUGGUUAAUACCCAAGAUGAGUGGACGUUACUCGCAGAAUAAGCACCGGCUAACUCUGUGCCAGCAGCCGCCGCGA